Molecule: ribosomal RNA, 213 nt
Filed under: Paralithodes brevipes
Lineage: Eukaryota; Metazoa; Arthropoda; Malacostraca; Decapoda; Lithodidae
Description: partial 28S rRNA
Source: RNAcentral
GGCGACUGAAAUGGGAAAAGCCCAGCGCAUAAGCUCGCUUUGCCCUUCACCGGGCGCGAGCGGUGUUGCGUUUCGGAGGGUCCGGCACGCCGCCUUACGACGCCUAAGUCAUGCUUGAAAGCGGCCACUACCCAUUGAGGGUGAAAGGCCCGUCUGGCGGAGCCCGUGAGGGCAUAAGUGAGGCGGUCGGAAAGGACCUUUCCGUAGAGUCGG